RNAcentral lists this ribosomal RNA (2903 nucleotides) under Escherichia coli. Its description in RNAcentral is "23S ribosomal RNA". It matches the Rfam family "Bacterial large subunit ribosomal RNA". The record is from RNAcentral. Lineage: Bacteria; Pseudomonadati; Pseudomonadota; Gammaproteobacteria; Enterobacterales; Enterobacteriaceae.
GGUUAAGCGACUAAGCGUACACGGUGGAUGCCCUGGCAGUCAGAGGCGAUGAAGGACGUGCUAAUCUGCGAUAAGCGUCGGUAAGGUGAUAUGAACCGUUAUAACCGGCGAUUUCCGAAUGGGGAAACCCAGUGUGUUUCGACACACUAUCAUUAACUGAAUCCAUAGGUUAAUGAGGCGAACCGGGGGAACUGAAACAUCUAAGUACCCCGAGGAAAAGAAAUCAACCGAGAUUCCCCCAGUAGCGGCGAGCGAACGGGGAGCAGCCCAGAGCCUGAAUCAGUGUGUGUGUUAGUGGAAGCGUCUGGAAAGGCGCGCGAUACAGGGUGACAGCCCCGUACACAAAAAUGCACAUACUGUGAGCUCGAUGAGUAGGGCGGGACACGUGGUAUCCUGUCUGAAUAUGGGGGACCAUCCUCCAAGGCUAAAUACUCCUGACUGACCGAUAGUGAACCAGUACCGUGAGGGAAAGGCGAAAAGAACCCCGGCGAGGGGAGUGAAAAAGAACCUGAAACCGUGUACGUACAAGCAGUGGGAGCACGCUUAGGCGUGUGACUGCGUACCUUUUGUAUAAUGGGUCAGCGACUUAUAUUCUGUAGCAAGGUUAACCGAAUAGGGGAGCCGAAGGGAAACCGAGUCUUAACUGGGCGUUAAGUUGCAGGGUAUAGACCCGAAACCCGGUGAUCUAGCCAUGGGCAGGUUGAAGGUUGGGUAACACUAACUGGAGGACCGAACCGACUAAUGUUGAAAAAUUAGCGGAUGACUUGUGGCUGGGGGUGAAAGGCCAAUCAAACCGGGAGAUAGCUGGUUCUCCCCGAAAGCUAUUUAGGUAGCGCCUCGUGAAUUCAUCUCCGGGGGUAGAGCACUGUUUCGGCAAGGGGGUCAUCCCGACUUACCAACCCGAUGCAAACUGCGAAUACCGGAGAAUGUUAUCACGGGAGACACACGGCGGGUGCUAACGUCCGUCGUGAAGAGGGAAACAACCCAGACCGCCAGCUAAGGUCCCAAAGUCAUGGUUAAGUGGGAAACGAUGUGGGAAGGCCCAGACAGCCAGGAUGUUGGCUUAGAAGCAGCCAUCAUUUAAAGAAAGCGUAAUAGCUCACUGGUCGAGUCGGCCUGCGCGGAAGAUGUAACGGGGCUAAACCAUGCACCGAAGCUGCGGCAGCGACGCUUAUGCGUUGUUGGGUAGGGGAGCGUUCUGUAAGCCUGUGAAGGUGUGCUGUGAGGCAUGCUGGAGGUAUCAGAAGUGCGAAUGCUGACAUAAGUAACGAUAAAGCGGGUGAAAAGCCCGCUCGCCGGAAGACCAAGGGUUCCUGUCCAACGUUAAUCGGGGCAGGGUGAGUCGACCCCUAAGGCGAGGCCGAAAGGCGUAGUCGAUGGGAAACAGGUUAAUAUUCCUGUACUUGGUGUUACUGCGAAGGGGGGACGGAGAAGGCUAUGUUGGCCGGGCGACGGUUGUCCCGGUUUAAGCGUGUAGGCUGGUUUUCCAGGCAAAUCCGGAAAAUCAAGGCUGAGGCGUGAUGACGAGGCACUACGGUGCUGAAGCAACAAAUGCCCUGCUUCCAGGAAAAGCCUCUAAGCAUCAGGUAACAUCAAAUCGUACCCCAAACCGACACAGGUGGUCAGGUAGAGAAUACCAAGGCGCUUGAGAGAACUCGGGUGAAGGAACUAGGCAAAAUGGUGCCGUAACUUCGGGAGAAGGCACGCUGAUAUGUAGGUGAAGUCCCUCGCGGAUGGAGCUGAAAUCAGUCGAAGAUACCAGCUGGCUGCAACUGUUUAUUAAAAACACAGCACUGUGCAAACACGAAAGUGGACGUAUACGGUGUGACGCCUGCCCGGUGCCGGAAGGUUAAUUGAUGGGGUCAGCGCAAGCGAAGCUCUUGAUCGAAGCCCCGGUAAACGGCGGCCGUAACUAUAACGGUCCUAAGGUAGCGAAAUUCCUUGUCGGGUAAGUUCCGACCUGCACGAAUGGCGUAAUGAUGGCCAGGCUGUCUCCACCCGAGACUCAGUGAAAUUGAACUCGCUGUGAAGAUGCAGUGUACCCGCGGCAAGACGGAAAGACCCCGUGAACCUUUACUAUAGCUUGACACUGAACAUUGAGCCUUGAUGUGUAGGAUAGGUGGGAGGCUUAGAAGUGUGGACGCCAGUCUGCAUGGAGCCGACCUUGAAAUACCACCCUUUAAUGUUUGAUGUUCUAACGUUGACCCGUAAUCCGGGUUGCGGACAGUGUCUGGUGGGUAGUUUGACUGGGGCGGUCUCCUCCUAAAGAGUAACGGAGGAGCACGAAGGUUGGCUAAUCCUGGUCGGACAUCAGGAGGUUAGUGCAAUGGCAUAAGCCAGCUUGACUGCGAGCGUGACGGCGCGAGCAGGUGCGAAAGCAGGUCAUAGUGAUCCGGUGGUUCUGAAUGGAAGGGCCAUCGCUCAACGGAUAAAAGGUACUCCGGGGAUAACAGGCUGAUACCGCCCAAGAGUUCAUAUCGACGGCGGUGUUUGGCACCUCGAUGUCGGCUCAUCACAUCCUGGGGCUGAAGUAGGUCCCAAGGGUAUGGCUGUUCGCCAUUUAAAGUGGUACGCGAGCUGGGUUUAGAACGUCGUGAGACAGUUCGGUCCCUAUCUGCCGUGGGCGCUGGAGAACUGAGGGGGGCUGCUCCUAGUACGAGAGGACCGGAGUGGACGCAUCACUGGUGUUCGGGUUGUCAUGCCAAUGGCACUGCCCGGUAGCUAAAUGCGGAAGAGAUAAGUGCUGAAAGCAUCUAAGCACGAAACUUGCCCCGAGAUGAGUUCUCCCUGACUCCUUGAGAGUCCUGAAGGAACGUUGAAGACGACGACGUUGAUAGGCCGGGUGUGUAAGCGCAGCGAUGCGUUGAGCUAACCGGUACUAAUGAACCGUGAGGCUUAACCUU